Long non-coding RNA from Alosa sapidissima (American shad), 236 nucleotides. RefSeq lists it as uncharacterized. The transcript has 3 exons. NCBI's taxonomy places the organism in Eukaryota, Metazoa, Chordata, Actinopteri, Clupeiformes, Clupeidae. The record is from RefSeq and is a predicted model, not a curated record.
GGUCUCACUGUAGUUCCUCUAGUUUAUAGUGUGGGUCCUUCACCAGAGCAGAGAGCUGCUCUACAGCUGAUUCACUAAGCAGGAUAUUCUGACUCAGGUCCAGCACUCCGAGACUUGAGGAAUGUGAGGUCAGAGCAGAGGCCAGAUAGGAACAGCUCUUCCCCACCAGAUUACAGCCACCCAGUUGAAGUUUCUCCAGUUUGCAGUUUUGAUGGCAAAGAGCGGAACAUAAAAGU